This is a non-coding RNA of Manis javanica (Malayan pangolin), 2568 nucleotides long. NCBI's taxonomy places the organism in Eukaryota, Metazoa, Chordata, Mammalia, Pholidota, Manidae. The record is from RefSeq and is a predicted model, not a curated record.
CUUGGAAAUCUCCUCAGCUAAACAUGCCAUUUCAGUGCUUAUAACCUCUGUCUUCUGCAGAACUCUGGAGCAUGAACACGACUCAGCCGGGUCCCUUGCCGCUGUGCAGCGAGGCUUGCCUUUUCUGCCUUGUACAAUAAAGUACUUCUCACUUCCUUCCGUGAGUGCAUCAGAGUGGCCUUUACCGGAUUACCACCAUUUGAUCCAUGAUGAGAUACAUUCUGUCUAAGAAGAGGGCUGCUUUGCUUUCUCCACACCGCUCUCCUUUCCUCUCUGAGCCAUCUCCUGAAUCACAUUUGACUUUGCCUUCGCCUUCAUAGGCCUCACCGGAAAGCAUGCACCUCAAAACGUCCAGUCUUGGCCGAUGACCCCGUUUAAAGCCGCUUGCACAUUUUCAGUAUUUCUUAGAGCAGCACCCACUCCUCGGUACCAAUGUCUGUCUUAGUUCAUAAUGUUACAGCAAAAUACCGAAAACUGGGUGGCUUAGGACAUUUGUCACAUUUGUUUCUCACCAUUCUGGGUAUGGGAAAUCCAAGAUAGGGUGCCAGCAGGGUCAGAGGAGGAUGCAUCUCCUCCUUACUGGGGCUGCUGACUCCUCGUGUCUUCUCGGGGGACAGAGAGAGAGAGAGCGAGAGCGAGAGAGGGAGGGCUGGUGCUCCGCCCCCUCGCUGUGCGGGCACUGCUGCCAUCUGUGGCGCCUCCAUCCUCACCCUCCUCACCUCCCAGAUGGCCCCCCUCCAGACUGGACGUUUGAUCACAGCAUGUGAAUUUAGGGGGAUCCACAGGUACUUCCUUAAUUGCAUAUGCAAAUUCCAUUUUUGGUUUUCAAGGAACUGCUCUACUGCUUCCGAUUGCAGCUGCAUUUUACUUUUCUUUUGCAGAUUAAAGAAGAAUUCCAAUAUUUUGACAUCCUCAGUGUUUCUUUCCUGUUUUUUUUUUUUAAAUAGUGACCAUCCUCAUACGUGUGAAAUGAGAGGUUUCCUUGUGGCUAUAGCACUUAGAUUGCUCUGCUGGCUGGUGAUACUGAACGUCCUCUCCUAUGUAGGUUUGCCAUCUCUCCUUAAUGGAAUAACUUUGUAACCAGGGCGGGAGACAGACCUCCAAAGUGUAAAUAAACCUACGUGGACAAAGAAUGCUGAAGUCUGAACCAACGCAGUCACCUAAAUAACCCUAUUCUUAAGACAAAACUUCGAGGUAAUUAUGAAUCACCUGUGUACAUCAUGCCUUAUACAGACGCUUACCCAAAAGGCCCUAUAAAACCCCAGGCCCUAAACCCUUAAGUGCACCUCCUCUCUGAGGUGCCCACACCCCCCUUUCUUUGAGUGUGUUGCUCUCUCUGUUCUACUCCAGAUAAGUAGGGAGGGGCUGCUGAGCUCUGAUCUGGGUGGGCUCGCAAGUCCCUGCUGCCUGGGUGACCCGGACAGGACUGCAGCUUCGUGAUCAUGCUCUUUAGUAGCCUGCCUGAAAAGUGCCCUUUCUUUGCCUUUGGGAAGUUCUCAGAGCAUCAUCUCACUCCAUCCAGUGCUCUGAGGCGCCCCCAAAUCCUGGGGUGGUAGGGCUUAGGCCCCACGCUGUGCAGAUCCAAGCGGACAGUGGACGCCAGGCCACCCUGGCUUCAGGGGAUCUGCCCUGUGCGGAGCGGCAGGUCAAGAGCUUCCCUUUCCUUCCUCCGUUCCUCCUUCCUGUCUGCUGCAUCCAGGCACACCUGCCUUUAUCUGUCUUGACUCUAGCCCACGCUUCCCCAGGCGUGGACGCAAAUACCCUGCCUUUGUCCGCCUUGACUCUGGCCUGCCCCUCCCUUGAAGUGCCUUCAAAUAAAACUUAUGUUCCGCUUCACUCCUGUGUCUCUGCCCUUCAGGUCUUCGUUGUGGUGGGACAAGGACCGAGGCGAACGAACUCAACCCACAAAAGAAUUAAAAACAAUUUUUUAGUUGAUUUGAAUAUGCAACCAAGCUUGAAAAUCACAGUGCUAGACCUUUAUCUCUUAAGGGGUUGUCUCGUAAUUGUCUGGCCUGGAACAACUGGGGAUUUUGUAAGGGAUGCUGUUGGCUGCAGAGUGUCCUUGGCUGGGUGAAGGAGCCAUAGAGUCAGUCCUUAACUUCCUCCUCUGUCUGUCACCCCCCCCCCUGCUGCGCCCAAUUCUGACUCAGACUGAAGUUUGGGAACCAUUGCACCCAACCAGGGGUUGGCAGGUGUUUUCUGUCAAGGCCCCAAUAGUGAACAUUUCAGCCUCUGAGCUACCUGGUCUCUGUGACAACUCUUGCCAUCGUGACAUGAAAUGAACUAUUUCACAGGUAAUUUUGUAAAUGAACAUGCGUGGCCAUGUUCCAAUGAAACUUUACUUAUGGAUACUGAAAUUUGAAUUUUCUGUAACUUCCAUGUGUCAGAAAAUACUAUUUUCUUUCAUACGCUUUCAUCCUGUUUGGGAUCCUCCGGGCUUUGUGGGCAUGUCUGUCUGCUUGAUUGUGGAGAGGGGUUUGCCUGCGUUCACUCACCAAAUUGUUCACAUUCACCAUGUACGAUUCUUUGUAAAUCAGUUAUCCCCCAGUAAAGCUGUUAAAAAUAUGA